AUUGAACGCUGGCGGCAGGCUUAACACAUGCAAGUCGAGCGAGCGGCGGACGGGUGAGUAAUGUCUGGGAAUCUGCCUGAUGGAGGGGGAUAACUACUGGAAACGGUUACUAAUACCGCAUACCAUCAGAUGUGCCCAGAUGGGAUUAGCUAGUAGGUGGGGUAAUGGCUCACCUAGGCGACGAUCCCUAGCUGGUCUGAGAGGAUGAACAGCCACACUGGGACUGAGACACGGUCCAGACUCCUACGGGAGGCAGCAGUGGGGAAUAUUGCACAAUGGGCGCAAGCCUGAUGCAGCCAUGCCGCGUGUGUGAAGAAGGCCUUAGGGUUGUAAAGCACUUUCAGCGGGGAGGCGUUACUCGCAGAAGAAGCACCGGCUAACUCCGUGCCAGCAGCCGCGGUAAUAC
This 406-nucleotide ribosomal RNA is filed under the name uncultured bacterium. RNAcentral describes it as "partial 16S ribosomal RNA". It matches the Rfam family "Bacterial small subunit ribosomal RNA", at positions 30 to 526 of the family's 1533-position model. The record is from RNAcentral.